RNAcentral lists this ribosomal RNA (577 nucleotides) under uncultured bacterium. RNAcentral's name for it is "bacterial SSU rRNA". It matches the Rfam family "Bacterial small subunit ribosomal RNA", at positions 734 to 1304 of the family's 1533-position model. The record is from RNAcentral.
CCGUNACUGACGCUGAGGAGCGAAAGCGUGGGGAGCGANCAGGAUUAGAUACCCUGGUAGUCCACGCCGUAAACGUUGGGCACUAGGUGUGGGGGGCCUUUUCCGGGUNUUCCGCGCCGUAGCUAACGCAUUAAGUGCCCCGCCUGGGGAGUACGGCCGCAAGGCUAAAACUCAAAGGAAUUGACGGGGGCCCGCACAAGCGGCGGAGCAUGCGGAUUAAUUCGAUGCAGCGCGAAGUACCUUACCAAGGCUUGACAUGUGCCGGUCGGCUCCGGAGACGGGGUUUCCUCCUUGUGGGGCCGGUUCACAGGUGGUGCAUGGUUGUCGUCAGCUCGUGUCGUGAGAUGUUGGGUUAAGUCCCGCAACGAGCGCAACCCUUGUCUCGUGUUGCCAGCACGUUGUGGUGGGGACUCGCGGGAGACUGCCGGGGUCAACUCGGAGGAAGGUGGGGAUGACGUCAAAUCAUCAUGCCCCUUAUGUCUUGGGCUUCACGCAUGCUACAAUGGCCGGUACAGAGGGCUGCGAUACUGUGAGGUGGAGCGAAUCCCUUAAAGCCGGUCUCAGUUCGGAUCGGUNU